GACAGGAGCCGAGUGGGCCAGUACGUGCGCCAGGCCCUGCCGUUCCUGGAGAGCCCAGAGGAGCCCCUGCGAAAGCUGGCCAUCAAGUUUCUGGGGAUCGCCGCCAGGUCCAUGAAGCAGGAGCAGCCAGAGCUGCAGCUCAUCUGCCAGGCCCUUCAAGACAUGACUGAUGACAGCCCUGCCGUCUCAAACCUGGCCAUUGAAACGCUCCACAUCAUCAGAGCUGUACGGAGG
Pseudopipra pipra is the source of this 234-nucleotide long non-coding RNA. RefSeq lists it as uncharacterized. The transcript is spliced from 3 exons. The record is from RefSeq and is a predicted model, not a curated record. Lineage: Eukaryota; Metazoa; Chordata; Aves; Passeriformes; Pipridae.